AACGCGAAGAACCUUACCUGGGCUCGAAAUGUAGAGGACGAUAUCAGAGAUGGUAUUUCCCGCAAGGGUCUCUAUAUAGGUGCUGCAUGGCUGUCGUCAGCUCGUGCCGUGAGGUGUUUGGUUAAGUCCAGCAACGAGCGCAACCCUUAUCGUUAGUUGCCAGCGCGUCAAGGCGGGAACUCUAACGAGACUGCCUGGGUUAACCAGGAGGAAGGCGAGGAUGACGUCAAGUCCGCAUGGCCUUUAUGUCCAGGGCUACACACGUGCUACAAUGGCCGGUACAGAAGGCAGCGAAACCGCGAGGUGGAGCAAAUCCCUAAAAACCGGUCUCAGUUCGGAUUGCAGACUGCAACUCGUCUGCAUGAAGUUGGAAUUGCUAGUAAUGGCGUGUCAGCAACAACGCCGUGAAUACGUUCCCGGGCCUUGUACACACCGUAGUAC
This 441-nucleotide ribosomal RNA is filed under the name uncultured bacterium. RNAcentral describes it as "bacterial SSU rRNA". It matches the Rfam family "Bacterial small subunit ribosomal RNA", at positions 958 to 1398 of the family's 1533-position model. The record is from RNAcentral.